UACGGGGGGGGCAAGCGUUGUUCGGAAUUACUGGGCGUAAAGGGCUCGUAGGUGGCCAACUAAGUCAGACGUGAAAUCCCUCGGCUUAACCGGGGAACUGCGUCUGAUACUGGAUGGCUUGAGUUCGGGAGAGGGAUGCGGAAUUCCAGGUGUAGCGGUGAAAUGCGUAGAUAUCUGGAGGAACACCGGUGGCGAAGGCGGCAUCCUGGACCGAUACUGACACUGAGGAGCGAAAGCCAGGGGAGCAAACGGG
This 253-nucleotide ribosomal RNA is filed under the name uncultured bacterium. RNAcentral's name for it is "partial 16S ribosomal RNA". It matches the Rfam family "Bacterial small subunit ribosomal RNA", at positions 524 to 776 of the family's 1533-position model. The record is from RNAcentral.